GGGCCCAUAGUUUAAUGGAUAGAACUGCAGGUUUCGGCCCUGUGAGUGGAGGUUCGAUUCCUCCUGGGCUCA
RNAcentral lists this transfer RNA (72 nucleotides) under Candidatus Pacearchaeota archaeon. RNAcentral describes it as "tRNA-Arg". It matches the Rfam family "tRNA". From Rfam's summary of the family: Transfer RNA (tRNA) molecules are approximately 80 nucleotides in length. Lineage: Archaea; Nanobdellati. The record is from RNAcentral.